CCACGUUGGUUCUAGUGAAUGCAGUAAGGCGGUAUUUGAGUUAUAUUUUAGAAGUGCCUAGACAAAAUGUGCUCCUUGUCGUGUGCAGUAACCAUCGCAAACCCUCCGGACUCGUGUAACGCCGUUAGUUCGCCGUGUGUUUCGUGCGAUCUAUCAGUGUCGACAGUGAGUGUCUUACUACAGCGCCCGUCCGAGCUGCCUUUGUUCUGCCGAGCUGCCUGCCCGCGCUCUCGUGAAAAGUCUGGUACUGGAGCUUCGAAUCGUAGUGUAUGGAAGGCUGUUGAAGGUUGUGCUUUUGUGGAGCUGGAGUUCAUCGGAAGUUCUACAGUGCUUGCGCCAGAAAGACGUCGGUGCCUCGGUACCUUUGAGACGAAGGAGCGUUGGCCAAGUCUUUUUGAAAGGCUAUGCGGAUUCUGGAGGCAUCCCUGCAUCGAGCAGGAACCUGCUGCACUGCUGGAAGCUGGACAGCACGACAAUAAAGCACGUGAUCUGUGCGCUUUCUCAAAGGUAGACAUCGGCGACGGUGUAUAUGUUGAAAAGGGCCUGCUGAAGAGGCUGCGCCUGGAUGCUAACAACUCGGGCUUUCAGUUUGCGGGGGGCCUCCUUAAGGCUCCUUUUACAAAAGAAGAGGUUGAAGGGAGGCGCUACACAUGGAUGCGCAGCGAUUGUUUGUGACAGCGUCACUGCUGGCAGGCCUGGCCUGCCUUUUCGCUUUGUUCUGGGUCUUCCACGUUAUCUACUCGAAAAAGGCCCACAGGAUUUUGACAUUUAUUGAGCACUGCUUUCUGGAUUUUUGCUACACAAAGCCGCAGGUGAAAGCAUUGGAUUUAGUCAAUUUUUACAAGAACUAUUGCUAGGCAAAAAAAUUUUCAGAUGCAUAUCCUCAAGAAAGUUUCUGUCAAAAUUAUUUUGCCUAACAAAAGCACUCGUGGGUUCUGUGGCUGACAGGUUGCCCAAGCCAUGUAGCACAGUGCUUGCUUUAAAGGGACACGAAAAAGAAAAUUUAUUUGAGCUUUAUUAAAUCAUUCUUCUACAACACCGAAAAAACAACUCCCACCAUGAGAAUUGGCUUGAUAAGCCAGAUAACUUGCAAAAACGAAAACUGGUGUCGCCACCACCACCUUAUAGUUCCUGCACCAGCUCGCUGUGAUAUGGAAUUUGACGGUGUCUGUUCGGGUCUAGCUAAUGUUCUACUGGCCAAUAUUGAUGAAUUCUGUUGUAAAGGUGUCAAAGAAUAUACUUAGUUGAAGUAUGACUCCACACUGAUGUGCGGGCACUGCAUAAAACUUGAAAAAUGAAAGUUAAAUCUUCAUUUUCUCAUCUAAUAAUCCGCUUAUUGCCACAAUGUUCAUGAAUACAGUUCUGAAAGAUUGUUUUAUCAGUCUAAAAUGAUUUACUGUUUCACUUUAGUAUUUCUGUAAUGGACCUUCAGCAACAAAAUGUGUGUUAGUAUUCCACAGGUAUUCUCAGCGGGGGCAAAAGCACCAGCAGCAUGCUCAAUGAUUCUGUACCAACUGAUAACUUGAAGGAUAUCCUGUGCCACUAGGGUUAGGCCAACGUGGCUCUGUGUUAAUCACCACAAGUGUAUUAUGCAAAACUUAAUGGCCCAGAAAUUGGUAAUUCAGGAGGGAGUUGAAUUAGCUAUUUUUUUUCUUUAUCAUGGACUUCUCACAUUACACUUUGUCACAACGCAUUCACUUUAAAGUAACUGUGGAGAAUAAGGUGGUUUGGUAUUCAGACAUGCCUUCUGUGUGUAAACAGUGUUAGAUGAGCAAUACAAAGAUACACCAUAGAUGCUGACUGGCAACAUGAAGGGGUUUGAGGGCAGCUACAAAUAUACAUCCUUGUAGUCGUACCUAUAGCACCAUGUUCAAUUUGUCACACAAGCAUAUGGCAUCCAUCACAACUGCAUGCCUAGAAACGGACAAGGGCAACACACUCAAUUCCCUUUUAGUCUAUCUAAGAAGCACUACAAUUUUUAGGCAACGAAAUUGAAAUCUGGCUUGUACCCAUAAGUACUGCAAUACAGUUGUGCAACGUGUUCCUCUUGUGUGGAAAAAGGGCUGCAUAUGUUUUCUUUGAGCACAAGGGGGAGUGGUAUCAGUUAGAGCCCCUCCAUCCACGUGCCACUGCCGCUUUCUUAAGUAGCGACAACCUUUGUUGUGCGCCGCCUUUUCCCCUCACACCAAAUCCGGUUCCAGCAUUUCCAGUUUAAAAGUUUCCGGUUCCGGCGUUACCGCUUCCUGAAGUUGUGCUGCGGGAAUUUCCGCUUUGACUGCCGAUGGUGAGACGCCCACGCGUGCUUAGCAGAGCUGUGGGAGUCACCAUGAGAAGAAUGCAAAGGCGACAAGCUGUUGUAUUCCGCUGAAGUAGUAAUUCGUGGUCGCUGUUUUCUAAAUGCACGAAAAACGGCAGUGGUCUCCAAGCGCCCAGGCACUACAUUCCACUGUACGUUGUCUCUCGUGGCACAACCCGUCGCAGGUUGACGCGAAACAGCGAACACGAUCAGAUCGCUGAUUGCAAUAGGCGGUGGUACUUGGAUGGAAUCGCAUUCACAGUUUAAACCGCAGCUGGUGCAAUUAAAGCCUCUCCAUCGACGCGAAAGUAAACAACGUUAAGAAAAACAUAGCGUUACUUCCACUCGGAACAGGAAGCUGCAGCUACGGAAAUUCCGCUUGACACCGGAAGCUAAGGGGGUGAGUGGCAGAGGAGCGUGGAGGAAGAGGGUAGGUUGGCGGUACUUAACCUGGUCGGCGGAAACGUGUAUGGAGGGGCUUUAGUAUCAGUUAAUGGCUGUUUUCACAUAUAUGUUUUGUCGUGUGUAUUAGCAAUCACCAUUUUCCUUAUCUGAGUGAGGUCAUUUUUUAGAAAGUUUGAAAGUUUAUAGAACAUGUUGCUCAUGGUUGUUGCAGUUUUCUUCCUAACUAUCCAUUCAUUGCACUGUGCACCCAUGUCUUGGGCAACUAGCUGUUUGAAGGUCAGUAUGCUAUCGAUGGGUCUAAUGGUAAUCUCUAGUGCCCUCUCAUUUGCUUGUUGCAAUACUGAAGAGUUUUGUAUAUUGUGUCACUUGUUUAUUUUCACUGUACUUUAGUUUCACUACAUCUUGAAUGUGUUGUGAUAGUUUUUCUUUUGCAAUGAAAGAUAUGGUGGACAGUUGCCAACACUAAUGUGAUAGUAUGAAUGCUUGCUGUAUUUAUCACGAUUGUUUCAUUUCGCUGGGGCACUAAUGGUCAUUAGCAGCAGAUGCUAGCUGCCCUUAAGUGCAAUGUUUUUAUGU
Non-coding RNA from Dermacentor albipictus, 3277 nucleotides. NCBI's taxonomy places the organism in Eukaryota, Metazoa, Arthropoda, Arachnida, Ixodida, Ixodidae. The record is from RefSeq and is a predicted model, not a curated record.